This 2089-nucleotide long non-coding RNA is filed under the name Anas platyrhynchos platyrhynchos (common mallard). Its description in RNAcentral is "lncRNA (ENSAPLG00000020813.1)". Lineage: Eukaryota; Metazoa; Chordata; Aves; Anseriformes; Anatidae. The record is from RNAcentral.
CCAUCUUGCUGCCUGCAUGAAACUACCAGUAAUUACAUUGAAUUACUCCUAUGCAGGCCUUUGAUGUCUUACUUUUUUGUUUGUUUGUUAUAUCUUGAGUUAGUUAGUGAAAAAACACACACAGACUUGGUAAUCAGGGGUCUUCCAAGUGAGGAUCCACAGCUUGGAGGAGUCCCCUCGGAAAGAUGAUGUUAGUAAUCCAAACCCUGCUUGUGCAUCUUUGUCUCAGCCUGUCUCCGAUAGAGAGACAUAAGCUUUUAAUAGACUGAGAAAUUCCUUGGAGGUGUUUGUUAGUUUGCAAUUACUUUGCAAUUGAUUUUCUUAAAAAACAAUUCAUAACUUGUUAAAGAUCUUCCCUCCCUCCUUCUCUCCCAGUUUCCUUUUCCAUCUCUGUCACUGCCCAGUAUUUACAGUCAUAAAGCCUAUUUGUUUCCCAUUGCUUAGGGAGAUGAUUUUUUCUACAGAGAGAAAAAAAUGAGACCUAAUCAUUUGUAAAACUGGAUUUACAGUCAGAUCCUCCUGGGGACUGAGUAUAAUUCUUACAGUGAUGACUUCUGCAAAUGUAGUUUAGGUGGUUAACCUAUUUGCCUCUGUUUCCCUUUUUGUAAAAUAAGGUCUAUUUUAGAAUAGCUCCUGUAGACCAAAUGCUGUCAGUGAAUUUGUGAAUGGCUUAGGGGAAAUAUAGCAAAAUAUAGCAAAAGUGAAUGAAUGCUUCAUUCAGAAUGGAAGAACACUAAGAGCUGUCCUCCAAAACAAACCUGACUGUCUCCUAACACCUGCAACUUGCACACUCAGCAAUGAACCUUCCUGCUUUUCUCCACCAGGGCCUGCAGCUGGGAACUCAAGAGUUGGAGGAGAUGGGAAGCAAGUUUUGCCUUGCUCUGCUCAUUCUGCAUCUCAAAUCCUUGCCCUGCAGCAAGAAGGUGAUGGACCAGGCAGCGCUCCUGCUGGAUCUGGAUGAGGAGAUAACAGACCGAGCACAAAGCAUUAGGGUGAGCAGAAACCUCAUGCAGUUUUAAGAAAGGUGAAGUGCUAAAGCACUGUUCUGCAUGCUGCACUUCUCAGGGCUCCCAGCUUGCCCUUUUUGUUCAAAUUCCCAGUGGCAGGAUGGGCUGGAGGUAAGUCGCUGCAUGUUUCUAAGGAGAUAGGGCUUGGCUGCGGUCUAGUUGUUGUUCUAACAGGACACUUCUCUACAUGAUCCCAUCUUAGGCUAGCCAGCAGCUCAGGCUCAGGGUUAAUUUGUGAUCUACACAUCAGGCCCAGGGUUAAGUUGCAAUCCACACAUCAGUGUUCUCAUUUAAACAAGGUGUACGCUGCCUGUCUUGUUCCUUGCACUUCACCAUAAGCUUAAGUGCUGUGCAAGAGAAAUGUUUCCCUUCAUGUUGCCAAGUAUGGACUCUGGUGGAGGGAACAGAGAAAAGUGAAGAACUUUGCAGUUACCUGGUACUCUGUGCUGCAAAAAGGCCCUGCCAGCUCCCUUCAGGCUCUGCAGAGCCCUUGGGGUGAGGUCUGCUACUGCCCAAACGCCAGAAGGCCCCGUAACCAAGCCGUGUCUUGUAACAAAUGCCACACCGCUGCACGAUGGAGCUGGUGAUAAGUGUGUAGAGACUGUUUUUUUGUAACGCGUUCUUAACGAACUAACAAACCAGAGCUAAACACCGAGAGUGAAUCCAUGUGAGAAAGGCCCCCUGCUUUCUGACUUACGCUUUCCCUUCUUUUGCUUUUGCUAUCUCUCAGCAUGAAUGCAAUCAAACCGCACUCAGGAACAUCUGAGCUGUGCAUUCGCCACUUAGGACUUUCUGGGUAGUGAAGUUUCCACAUUGUUUAUUUAGAGCUAAGUGUUCUGCUGGGUCUCUUAUCACUUUCUGUAAAUAACAACUGUCCUCUAAAUUCUUCAGGCUGAUUACUGAGACUGACAAUCUGUGUGUUUUGAGUUGCUGAGCUGUAUUAAUCUCUAAUAUACCCUGGUCUGUGGAUGGAAAGGCUAAUGUAUUGAGGAUGUCACAAGAGGUAAAAGCCAAAAGACUUACUCUUCCUGGGCAUGUGAAGUGCUUUGGUUGUGACAUGAAUAAAUCUCCCAGCAGCAACA